This 69-nucleotide transfer RNA is filed under the name Bos taurus (domestic cattle). It matches the Rfam family "tRNA". From Rfam's summary of the family: Transfer RNA (tRNA) molecules are approximately 80 nucleotides in length. Their secondary structure includes four short double-helical elements and three loops (D, anti-codon, and T loops). Further hydrogen bonds mediate the characteristic L-shaped molecular structure. tRNAs have two regions of fundamental functional importance: the anti-codon, which is responsible for specific mRNA codon recognition, and the 3' end, to which the tRNAs corresponding amino acid is attached (by aminoacyl-tRNA synthetases). tRNAs cope with the degeneracy of the genetic code in two manners: having more than one tRNA (with a specific anti-codon) for a particular amino acid; and 'wobble' base-pairing, i.e. permitting non-standard base-pairing at the 3rd anti-codon position. Lineage: Eukaryota; Metazoa; Chordata; Mammalia; Artiodactyla; Bovidae. The record is from Rfam by way of RNAcentral. RNAcentral also lists the same sequence under 5 other names.
CCUGAUAUCUCAGUAGGUAAAGAAUUCGCCUGCAAUGCAGGAGACCCUGGUUCAAUUCCUGGGUCAGGA